Acanthochromis polyacanthus (spiny chromis) is the source of this 1788-nucleotide long non-coding RNA. RefSeq lists it as uncharacterized. NCBI's taxonomy places the organism in Eukaryota, Metazoa, Chordata, Actinopteri, Pomacentridae. The record is from RefSeq and is a predicted model, not a curated record. The transcript has 2 exons.
CGCCCUCUGAAAAGAGACGGAGGGAGGUGAGAAAGAGGCUCCGCCAAUAGGGAACGUCUUUUCUAUUAAUUCAGAUGGAGCGAGAUGAGAUGAGGGAGGCAGGGUGGGGUGUGGAGACGGGAGGUAGGGAGGGAUGGAGGGAGGUGGUGGUCUCCAUGGCUGCAGUUGCCGUAGCAACCCCUCUCCAGCAGCAGGGAGAGGCACGGCGGUGUGGGCGACCGCGUGGAGGUCAGAGGUCGGCAUACCCUCGUCGCUGGUCUGGGUCUCGGUGCCGGCGUCGGGCUCGGCCUCCUCCAACGCUCCGGGCUCGCUGAACGGACUCUCGCUGCAGGAGGAGGAAGAGGAGGAAGAGGAGGAUCAGUCAAAGCGUCCAUUCAAUAUGUGAACAAAGACGAACGCUCAGCGGGAGGUGAAGCUGCUCAUCGUCUGCAGCGACAGAAGCACUGAAGGAGGGAGUGAUUCCAACCGGGUGCUUUUACACCACCAGGAAAAUCUGAAAUCUCUUCGUCUAUAAAGUCCGUCAGCGUGAGCCCCGCCCAGAUCAAAAACUUACAUUCACAGGAUUUAUAUAAAGAAUUCACCCUCCCUGGAAAUGCUGUCCUUCAUUGCUUUUCAACAAAUUCAAUUAUGGUCAAUUGAAUUGAGGCUUUUAAGAUGAAUUUACCAAAGAAAGACAUUAUGAUGUGAAGCCUGGUGGUGGAAGCAUCAUGAUGUGAAGCAUGGUGGAGGUAGCAUCACGAUGUGAAGCCUGGUGGAGGCAUCAUCAUGAUGUGAAGCAUGGUGGAGGUAGCAUCACGAUGGUGGCAGCACCAUGAUGUGAAGCAUGGUGGAGGCAUCAUCAUGAUGUGAAGCCUGGUGGAGGCAUCAUCAUGAUGUGAAGCAUGGUGGAGGCAUCAUCAUGAUGUGAAGCAUGGUGGAGGUAGCAUCACGAUGUGAAGCAUGGUGGAGGUAGCAUCACGAUGGUGGCAGCACCAUGAUGUGAAGCAUGGUGGUGGUAGUAUUAUGAUGUUUCUCAGCGGCAGGGUCUAGAAGGCUUGUACAGUUCCCGGCUAUUGAAUGCAGCAAAGUCUAGAGAAAUUCUGGAGGACAACUUAGUAUAGUCUGAAGAGAAUUGAGACAUGGAGAAGAUUUAUUUUCCAUCCAGACAAUGACUUGAACCAAACAGUGAAAACUCCACAGAAAUGGUUCAAAGACAACAAGGUGAAUGUUCUGGAGGACAAAUUAGAGUCCAGACCUCACUGCAACUAAGAAUCUGUGUCAGUACAGAGGUCCAACAAACUACCAUGUCUGAUUAAUUCAUGUCAAAAAGCCAAACAAUAUUGGUUAUGACUCAGUGCUGAAGAGCAAUAAAAGAGAACAACUUCCUAGGGGAGGGAAUGCUUUUUAUAGGCGCUGCAAAUUUCAUAUUGACACACUUGUCAGCAAGCUACGACCAAAAACUGGGUAUUUGUACAAAGACAAAGCUGAUUUUCUCAUGUUGUGCAGAAAGUAAAUAACUGAGGCUGUCUUCUUGUCUGUCUUAGAUUAUGUUGAUCUAUAGAAACGCCUCUGCCUCCUCUCUGAAAGCCACCGAUUCAGUUCAACACUCCAAGAUUCAUUAGAUGUGACAGUUACUCUAGUCAUCACUGCUCGCUGGAUGAAGUCAAAUGGGACAUUGGUUUCUUUUUAUUUAUGAGGCACUGAUGCUGCCAAACAUAACUUUCCUGUUGAACUGCCUUUACUCUUGAACAUCUUUUCAAAUGUGAACACGCCCUCAAUGAUUAAACAAGAUGUUUUGUUUCAGUGUCA